RNAcentral lists this long non-coding RNA (362 nucleotides) under Manihot esculenta (cassava). Its description in RNAcentral is "long non-coding RNA (MESC_LNC010163)". The record is from RNAcentral. Lineage: Eukaryota; Viridiplantae; Streptophyta; Magnoliopsida; Malpighiales; Euphorbiaceae.
GGCAGAUUAUUGUCUAUUGAAAUUUCAUCAUUUAGUUUCCCAUUUUGAUCAAGAGGAAAUUCAUGCUUGCUUUCACUGGUAAAUUCCAUUAUAGAAUCACUUUCUUGAUUUUCAAUGCUUUCCAGCGAAGAAGUCCCAUUGUUGUGCAUCCCGUUCCCAGAUGGGAAAUCAUUUGCAUUUCUAUCCACAAGAAGCCCAAUAGGAUUGUUCAAACCCUCUUCUACAAAAUCAUCAUUAUCUCCUUCAUUAUCCACUGCAAGCUCAAAAGGAUUGUCCAGGUCUUCAUCCUCAGAUGUAAAAUCGCUGUCUGUGUCUCCACUCUUUCUCUGUGAUUCACUGUCAAUGUCUCCACUGCCACCGUA